GAGUAGGUCAGACAAUCGCGGGCAAUAGAAAUAUUGUGUGAGGAAAGUCCGGGCUCCACAGGGCAGGGAUGCCGGCUAACGGCCGGUGAGGGCGACCUUAAGGAUAGUGCAACAGAAAAUAAAUGCCGUGCAAUGUACGGCGAUUGUGGAAAUGUGCGGUAAGAGCGCACAGGGAAUAUGGCAACUGACUUCCCGUGUAAACCCCAUCCGGAGCAACAUACAACAGCAUAAUUAAGCUUGCUCGGCGCUAUGCGAAAGAAUGGCUUGAGCUUCGCAGCAAUGCGCAGCCACAGAUAGAUGAUUGUCUGAUACAGAACCCGGCUUACAGACCUGCUCAU
RNAcentral lists this RNase P RNA (338 nucleotides) under pig gut metagenome. RNAcentral describes it as "Bacterial RNase P class A". It matches the Rfam family "Bacterial RNase P class A". Rfam says of the family: Ribonuclease P (RNase P) is a ubiquitous endoribonuclease, found in archaea, bacteria and eukarya as well as chloroplasts and mitochondria. Its best characterised activity is the generation of mature 5'-ends of tRNAs by cleaving the 5'-leader elements of precursor-tRNAs. Cellular RNase Ps are ribonucleoproteins. The record is from RNAcentral.